Molecule: ribosomal RNA, 623 nt
Filed under: uncultured archaeon
Lineage: Archaea
Description: bacterial SSU rRNA
Rfam family: Archaeal small subunit ribosomal RNA
Source: RNAcentral
AUAAUACUCCAUAGAUUAGAGACACUGGAAUGUUCUUUAGUCGAAAGUUCUGGCGCCUUAGGAUGGAUCUGCGGUCGAUUAGGUUGUUGUUGGGGUAACGGCCCAACAAGCCUGUAAUCGAUACGGGUUGUGGGAGCAAUAGCCCGGAGAUGGAAUCUGAGACAAGAUUCCAGGCCCUACGGGGCGCAGCAGGCGCGAAAACUUUACAAUGCAGGAAACUGUGAUAAGGGAACUCCGAGUGCCCGUAUACGCGGGCUGUCCAGGUGUUUAAAAAUCAUCUGAAGAAAGGGCCGGGCAAGACCGGUGCCAGCCGCCGCGGUAAUACCGGCGGCUCGAGUGGUGGCCACUAUUAUUGGGCUUAAAGCGUCCGUAGCUGGACCGAUAAGUCUCUUGGGAAAUCCGCCGGCUCAACCGGCGGGCGUCUAAGGGAUACUGUUAGUCUAGGGACCGGGAGAGGUGAGAGGUACUCCGGGGGUAGGAGUGAAAUCCUGUAAUCCCCGGGGGACCACCGAUGGCGAAGGCAUCUCACCAGAACGGCUCCGACAGUGAGGGACGAAAGCUGGGGGAGCGAACCGGAUUAGAUACCCGGGUAGUCCCAGCCGUAAACUAUGCGCGUUAGGUGU